GGUCAGUUAGUUCAGCGGUAGAAUGUCCCCUUGACAUGGGGAAGGUCGCAGGUUCGAUCCCUGCACUGACCACCA
RNAcentral lists this transfer RNA (75 nucleotides) under Rhodospirillaceae bacterium. RNAcentral describes it as "tRNA-Val". It matches the Rfam family "tRNA". From Rfam's summary of the family: Transfer RNA (tRNA) molecules are approximately 80 nucleotides in length. Their secondary structure includes four short double-helical elements and three loops (D, anti-codon, and T loops). Further hydrogen bonds mediate the characteristic L-shaped molecular structure. tRNAs have two regions of fundamental functional importance: the anti-codon, which is responsible for specific mRNA codon recognition, and the 3' end, to which the tRNAs corresponding amino acid is attached (by aminoacyl-tRNA synthetases). tRNAs cope with the degeneracy of the genetic code in two manners: having more than one tRNA (with a specific anti-codon) for a particular amino acid; and 'wobble' base-pairing, i.e. permitting non-standard base-pairing at the 3rd anti-codon position. Lineage: Bacteria; Pseudomonadati; Pseudomonadota; Alphaproteobacteria; Rhodospirillales; Rhodospirillaceae. The record is from RNAcentral.